UACGGAGGUGGCAAGCGUUGCUCGGAAUCACUGGGCGUAAAGGGCGCGUAGGCGGGGAGGUAAGUCGGGUGUGAAAUCCCUCGGCCCAACUGAGGAACUGCGCCCGAGACUGCUUCUCUUGAGUCCCGGAGAGGAAGAUGGAAUUCCCGGUGUAGCGGUGAAAUGUGUAGAGAUCGGGAGGAACACCGGUGGCGAAGGCGGUCUUCUGGACGGCAACUGACGCUGAGACGCGAAAGCGUGGGGAGCAAACAGG
This 253-nucleotide ribosomal RNA is filed under the name uncultured bacterium. RNAcentral's name for it is "partial 16S ribosomal RNA". It matches the Rfam family "Bacterial small subunit ribosomal RNA", at positions 524 to 776 of the family's 1533-position model. The record is from RNAcentral.